CCUACGGGUGGCAGCAGUGGGGAAUAUUGCACAAUGGGGGAAACUCUGAUGCAGCGACGCCGCGUGAGUGAAGCAGUAUUUCGGUAUGGAAAGCUGCAUUAGCACGAACGUGAACAGACGGUACCGGAUUAAGAAGCAACUGCUAACUACGUGCCAGCCGCCGAGGUACUUCGGAGGAGGCAAGCGUUAACCGAGUCUCCAGGGUAUAACGGGAGUGUAGGCGGUUGUGGAAGUCAGAAGUGAAAGGCUGGGGCACAACACCUGGAUCGAGUUGGGACCUGUUCGGCUAGAGUGUAGGUGAGGUAGGUGGAAUGGCUAGUGUAGCGGUGAAAUGCGUAGAUAUUAGGAAGAACACCAGUGGCGAAGGCGGCUUACCGGACUAUAACUGACGUUGAGGCUCGAAAGCGUGGGGAGCAAACAGGAUUAGAUACCCGUGUAGUC
RNAcentral lists this ribosomal RNA (441 nucleotides) under uncultured bacterium. Its description in RNAcentral is "partial 16S ribosomal RNA". It matches the Rfam family "Bacterial small subunit ribosomal RNA", at positions 338 to 795 of the family's 1533-position model. The record is from RNAcentral.